Molecule: long non-coding RNA, 837 nt
Organism: Gallus gallus (chicken)
Lineage: Eukaryota; Metazoa; Chordata; Aves; Galliformes; Phasianidae
Source: Ensembl
CGGGCUGGGAAAGCUGUGCUGCAGGUCCCCUGCGCAUGUCAUCUUCAAGACACGGCCAUAUGUGUACCUGCCUUACAGCCGAUGCCCUCCUGUACACAUCGGGUUACCUCUGAUUUCCUAUUUCUGCAAACGCACCCAACAAGAAACGUGUAGGAUUUCACCCCCGUUCUCUCAGAACAGAGACAAUGUGUCCUGAGGUAUAUAAAAGAUCCCAGAGACGAGCAACAUGCCUCCACUUUCCUUCCAUUUCCAAACCCCGGCUCCGCCAGGCAGAGACGACCACGUUAGAAAAACACACAAGAUCGAACCCGACAUCAACGGCGGCACAACAAACCCUGAAAACAUCGGCGCAGCCCCGUCCUGACCCACACCAUCACCCGCACACCGCCGCUCUCGCAAAGCAACCCUUCCUUCUCCAAAACCGAUUUCCUCCCCUCCUUAUUUCUGCUGCACAAGGAAAGAAGCUCCCGGCCUUUGUCUGCCUGUGGGAUGGGACCCAGGUAACACAGCCCCCAAGCUGCUGAGCCCCCCGCGGGCGGUCAGGAAGGGAAAGCUCCUUCAAACCAGGCCCAGCUCUGCUUCAGAGCUCAGAGAAAUGCUCUGCAGCCUCUAGGCCUCUGCUUUGUGCCCCAGAAAUCUCGCUGCGUAGGAAAGAGACAGGCAGAGUCCAUUCCCUGCUACCAUUUCAGGCAUUCCUCCACAUUUCUCUUUUACUUAGAAAGCAAUUCAUUUUCUUAGAAAGUAAUGACACUUACAAGAGUUUUGGGAAUCAGAUUUUUCUAUCAAGUCUCCUCUCUCCCUCUUUCUCUCUCUCUUUUUCUCCUUUUGGUCUUCUCG